RNAcentral lists this ribosomal RNA (253 nucleotides) under uncultured bacterium. RNAcentral describes it as "partial 16S ribosomal RNA". It matches the Rfam family "Bacterial small subunit ribosomal RNA", at positions 524 to 776 of the family's 1533-position model. The record is from RNAcentral.
UACAGAGGUCUCAAGCGUUGUUCGGAUUCAUUGGGCGGAAAGGGUGCGUAGGUGGCGCUGUAAGUCAGGUGUGAAAUUUCGGAGCUCAACUUCGAAACUGCAUUUGAUACUGCGGUGCUUGAGGACUGGAGAGGAGACUGGAAUUUACGGUGUAGCAGUGAAAUGCGUAGAGAUCGUAAGGAAGACCAGUGGCGAAGGCGGGUCUCUGGACAGUUCCUGACACUGAGGCACGAAGGCCAGGGGAGCAAACGGG